GACGAACGCUGGCGGCGUGCCUAAUACAUGCAAGUUGAGCGAAGUUUUUCUGGUGCUUGCACUAGAAAAACUUAGCGGCGAACGGGUGAGUAACACGUAAAGAACCUGCCUCAUAGACUGGGACAACUAUUGGAAACGAUAGCCAAUACCGGAUAACAGUAUUUCUCGCAUGAGAGAUAUUUAAAAGUUGGUUAUGCUAACACUAUGAGAUGGCUUUGCGGUGCAUUAGCUAGUUGGUGGGGUAAAGGCCCACCAAGGCGACGAUGCAUAGCCGACCUGAGAGGGUGAUCGGCCACACUGGGACUGAGACACGGCCCAGACUCCUACGGGAGGCAGCAGUAGGGAAUCUUCCGCAAUGGGCGAAAGCCUGACGGAGCAACGCCGCGUGAGUGAAGAAGGAUUUCGGUUCGUAAAGCUCUGUUGUUAGGGAAGAAUGGAUAUGUAGUAACUAUACAUGUAAGAGACGG
Molecule: ribosomal RNA, 467 nt
Filed under: Gemella morbillorum
Lineage: Bacteria; Bacillati; Bacillota; Bacilli; Caryophanales; Gemellaceae
Description: bacterial SSU rRNA
Rfam family: Bacterial small subunit ribosomal RNA
Source: RNAcentral